UACGGAGGAUGCGAGCGUUAUCCGGAUUUAUUGGGUUUAAAGGGUGCGUAGGCGGGCUUUUAAGUCAGCGGUAAAAAUUCGGGGCUCAACCCCGUCCGGCCGUUGAAACUGGGGGUCUUGAGUAGGCGAGAAGAAGGCGGAAUGCGUGGUGUAGCGGUGAAAUGCAUAGAUAUCACGCAGAACCCCGAUUGUGAAGGCAGCCUUCCGGCGCCCUACUGACGCUGAGGCACGAAAGUGCGGGGAUCGAACAGG
RNAcentral lists this ribosomal RNA (252 nucleotides) under uncultured bacterium. RNAcentral's name for it is "partial 16S ribosomal RNA". It matches the Rfam family "Bacterial small subunit ribosomal RNA", at positions 524 to 776 of the family's 1533-position model. The record is from RNAcentral.